GAUGAACGCUGGCGGCGUGCCUAAUACAUGCCAGUCGAGCGAACGGACGAGAAGCUUGCUUCUCUGAUGUUAGCGGCGGACGGGUGAGUAACACGCGGAUAACCUACCUAUAAGACUGGGAUAACUUCGGGAAACCGGAGCUAAUACCGGAUAAUAUUUUGAACCGCAUGGUUCAAAAGUGAAAGACGGUCUUGCUGUCACUUAUAGAUGGAUCCGCGCUGCAUUAGCUAGUUGGUAAGGUAACGGCUUACCAAGGCAACGAUGCAUAGCCGACCUGAGAGGGUGAUCGGCCACACUGGAACUGAGACACGGUCCAGACUCCUACGGGAGGCAGCAGUAGGGAAUCUUCCGCAAUGGGCGAAAGCCUGACGGAGCAACGCCGCGUGAGUGAUGAAGGUCUUCGGAUCGUAAAACUCUGUUAUUAGGGAAGAACAUAUGUGUAAGUAACUGUGCACAUCUUGACGGUACCUAAUCAGAAAGCCACGGCUAACUACGUG
This 497-nucleotide ribosomal RNA is filed under the name uncultured bacterium. Its description in RNAcentral is "partial 16S ribosomal RNA". It matches the Rfam family "Bacterial small subunit ribosomal RNA", at positions 28 to 507 of the family's 1533-position model. The record is from RNAcentral.